Molecule: ribosomal RNA, 812 nt
Filed under: Alternaria sp.
Lineage: Eukaryota; Fungi; Ascomycota; Dothideomycetes; Pleosporales; Pleosporaceae
Description: partial large subunit ribosomal RNA
Rfam family: Eukaryotic large subunit ribosomal RNA
Source: RNAcentral
CCAACAGGGGAUUGCCCUAGUAACGGCGAGUGAAGCGGCAACAGCUCAAAUUUGAAAUCUGGCUCUUUUAGAGUCCGAGUUGUAAUUUGCAGAGGGCGCUUUGGCUUUGGCAGCGGUCCAAGUUCCUUGGAACAGGACGUCACAGAGGGUGAGAAUCCCGUACGUGGUCGCUGGCUAUUGCCGUGUAAAGCCCCUUCGACGAGUCGAGUUGUUUGGGAAUGCAGCUCUAAAUGGGAGGUACAUUUCUUCUAAAGCUAAAUAUUGGCCAGAGACCGAUAGCGCACAAGUAGAGUGAUCGAAAGAUGAAAAGCACUUUGGAAAGAGAGUCAAACAGCACGUGAAAUUGUUGAAAGGGAAGCGCUUGCAGCCAGACUUGCUUACAGUUGCUCAUCCGGGUUUCUACCCGGUGCACUCUUCUGUAGGCAGGCCAGCAUCAGUUUGGGCGGUAGGAUAAAGGUCUCUGUCACGUACCUCCUUUCGGGGAGGCCUUAUAGGGGAGACGACAUACUACCAGCCUGGACUGAGGUCCGCGCAUCUGCUAGGAUGCUGGCGUAAUGGCUGUAAGCGGCCCGUCUUGAAACACGGACCAAGGAGUCUAACAUCUAUGCGAGUGUUUGGGUGUCAAGCCCGAGCGCGUAAUGAAAGUGAACGGAGGUGGGAACCCGCAAGGGUGCACCAUCGACCGAUCCUGAUGUCUUCGGAAGGAUUUGAGUAAGAGCAUGGCUGUUGGGACCCGAAAGAUGGUGAACUAUGCUUGAAUAGGGUGAAGCCAGAGGAAACUCUGGUGGAGGCUCGCAGCGGUUCUGACGUGC